CUGCGAAUGGCUCGGUAAAUCAGUUAUAGUUUAUUUGAUAGUGCAGCCUACUCGGAUAACCGUAGUAACACUAGAGCUAAUACGUGCGUAAAUCCCGACUUUUUGAAGGGACGUAUUUAUUAGAUUUAUGGCCAGCCGGGCUUGCCCGACCAGCGGUGAAUCAUGGUAACUUGACGGAUUGCAUGGCCUUUGUGCCGGCGACGUGUCAUUCAAGUUUCUGCCCCAUCAGGUUUCGACUGUAGUGUAUUGGACUACAGUGCCUAUAACGGGUAGCGGAGGAUUAGGGUUCGAUUCCGGAGAGGGAGCC
This 307-nucleotide ribosomal RNA is filed under the name Rhizoclonium sp. AS-2015. Its description in RNAcentral is "SSU rRNA". It matches the Rfam family "Eukaryotic small subunit ribosomal RNA", at positions 87 to 396 of the family's 1831-position model. The record is from RNAcentral. Lineage: Eukaryota; Viridiplantae; Chlorophyta; Ulvophyceae; Cladophorales; Cladophoraceae.